Malaclemys terrapin pileata is the source of this 923-nucleotide long non-coding RNA. RefSeq lists it as uncharacterized. The record is from RefSeq and is a predicted model, not a curated record. Lineage: Eukaryota; Metazoa; Chordata; Testudines; Emydidae. The transcript has 3 exons.
UCAGAGCGAAGUAACGGGCGCAGCGCACAAACAAAGAAGAAGCUGGCACAUUAAGGGGAAAGUGUUGCUUAACCCCCCCCCCCCAACAAUGAUCUUCCAAAGCAAAAUGAAAGGUUCAUGUCCAGAGUGAAUUUCAUGGUUUAAAAACUAAUGGAAACCAGGAGAUCUGGCUUUAAAAAUGGCUACUGAUUUGGGGACACACACACACACACACACACACACGCGCAUGCAUGAAGGAUCCCAAGAUUCAUUGUGGAAACCUAGGGUAGAACAAACGUUGCUUUGGGCCCUUCAGAACAAGGUGCUGUCCAUCUUUGGGCCACGCUCCCGUGUUAGGAUCUUCUUGGUCAGCCCCUUGCUCCCACUGAAGUCUAUGGAGCUCUGUGCUGGGUGAGGAUCUUCUAAUGUGGCUCCACUUACAGGAUCAGAGCCUGGAUGAGCUUUUCUCUACAAGCACAAGGCCCAGCAGGUUUUUUUCCUAAUGAAAGCUGAGUGUCUCAUGUAAUCACCUGACUCAAGGAGCUGGAGCUGUAAGGAAAAAAAGCAAAUAUGGUGAGAAUUGGCAACACUGUGUCACUUGUCUUACAUGUGUAGUCCCCCUGAAACCGAAGAGAUCUAUUCAUAGGAGCAAAGUCACUCAUGUAUCUAAGGAGUUGUAUGACCAGGACCUAACAAAUAUAAGGGUAUAGUCAUCCCAGGAAUAAACCCUUUUAUAAACUUUUCAUUUCAUGGGGGGAGAGGGGAGGAAAUAUCCUUAUUCUAAACAAAAUGUAUUUCUUCUGCUCCCUUUCUCCUUCCAUGUAUAAAAAGUACCUGUCUAGACAUAUGUGUUUGUCUUGUAAGCCCUACUCUUUUAAGUCAUUCCUGAAGUGUUUGAAUAAAUAUUAAGAAGGCUCAAGGCAAUAAAAGAACUUUAUGACUUU